UUCCAAAGAUAUUUUUAAUAUCAGAAAAAAAGUCAAUGACAAUGAUGAAAUAAUCUCACUGAAAAAAUCCUAUGUGAAAUAGCUUUCUUUAUAUUCAUAUUCAACAAUAUUUAUGGAGCACAUUUGACCCAGCAGGUCCCAUGGUAGGCCCUGGGGAUACAGACAUGACUCCCACCCUCAUGGAGGGAAAGUCAUCACAUAAGCAGACUCAUGAAAGUAAAUGGAGUGUGAAGCUGGGGAGCACAGAAGACACUGUGGUGAUGGUAGUGGUUUAGUCGCUCAGUCGUGUCCAGCUCUUGAGACCCAGUGGAUUGUAGCUCGCCAAGCUCCUCUCUCCAUGGGAUUUCCCAGGCAAGAACACUGGUGUGCGUUGCCAUUUCCUUCUCCAGAUCUUCCUGACCCAGGGCUUGAAACCACGUCUCCUGCGUUGCAGGCUGUAGGCCGCUUCUUUACUGCUGAGCCAUCAGGGAAGCCCAGAAGACAUUGUAGGGAAACAUAACUGGGGGCCUUCAAUAAGGGGGGGUCCCUGAGGAAACAAUGUUUGAUUUGACAUCAAUCCUUGAAAAAUAAUAUUUUCUUGUACAGAUAGCUUAUUUUUAUUGAUACAAAAUUGUGGUUUCUCACUAAUGUUAUAGAACUCACUUAGACUUUUGGAUAUUAUAUGAUAUAUACCCACCUAGGAGAAGGCAAUGGCACCCCACUCCAUGUUCUUGCCUGGAGAAUCCCAGGGACGGGGGAGCCUGGUGGGCUGCCAUCUAUGGGGUCGCACAGAGUCAGACAUGACUGAAGCGACUUAGCAGCAGCAGCAGCAUAUACAUACUAAGCUUCUCUAUUAAAAUAGUCUAGAAUUUAAACUUAGCAAGAAAAAAAAAAUCCCUUACUAUUUCAGACAAUCUUAUUUCACAAAAGCUAUCACUAAGAAAAACUUAAAAUAUUUUAUGAGAAUAUGAAGCUGCUAGUUUAACACAGCGUUAGUUUUAACAGGUAUUUGUUGAGCACUCGUAUUUCCCUGUAUUGUGCUUAACAUAAAAUGUGACAAUAUUUAGCUUGCUUGAUUUACUUAAGGACAGAAAUACAAUACAAUAAUUUCUAUAAUUUCUAAAUGUAGGCAGUUUAAGAAUAUAUUGAAUCUUUGGAUUACAAUUUCAUGUGGUAAGUUCAAAUACCUUUUUAAAUGUGAGAAACAGGAACAUAUUUUAGCAUAUAAUUAAACGUACUGAAUUCACAAAGAACCAGCAACUGGCUGGUACAAAAAAGAUUUUAUUGCUUAAAGACAAACAUAAACUUAUCACUAAAAGAAGAGAAUUAUAUUACAUAAUUGAGCUUGUAGGUACCACUGUAUGGUCAAGUAGCAAUAGAAUUAUCAAUGAGGCUUUCAUUUUUCAUCUGGAGAAAUAUGAUGAGGCUGGUUCCCUGGUAUUAAUUCAAGCUUUACAAAAUCCAAACGUAGUAUUUAGGAAACACAAAUCUUGCAUGGUAUUUACUAUAUAAUAAAUACAAUCUUAUAGCCAAAGCAGAAAUGCUUACAUGAAUAACUGAUUUGAACUAAACACUGUAAAUUCAUAAAUUUGCUUUUGUUCUAGCCUGAUGCAAAGACUAGUGGACCUUUAGUCUAACAGAAGUUUGUUUAUGUCUUCCUGGCUCCCUUUAUUUGAACAUGUCAAAUAGUUACAGAUAUUUAUUGAUAACCUAUUAUAACUACAUAAAAUACAAUCAUUCUAAGAAAAAGGAGAGUGAGAAAAUUGUUUUUCUUUUACUUUAAUCUCAGAUUGUGACAUAGACUUUGUGCCUAAAGGUUGACCUCUGACUCUCUUAAAUCCUCAUAUGUCUUUCGUCUAAAACAGAAUCAUUUGAUAAGAGCAUUAUUAAAUUUGUAUUUUCAGAUUCAUUUAUUAAUUCUGGUAGGAGUUAAUUAAGAGAUGUGUGUCACAGAUAUUCGCAUCUGAGUUCAUAUAUCUGAACGUCAAAGGCGAAUUUGAAACAAAGGAAAUGCAAGCUGUACUUCCAAGUGACUGGGCCCUUCUUGAAAUCCAGGAGCCAUGUGGGACCAGCCAGGGCCAAGAGUCACUUCCAAGCCUUGCAAGAUCUUU
This 2090-nucleotide long non-coding RNA is filed under the name Bos taurus (domestic cattle). RNAcentral's name for it is "long non-coding RNA NONBTAT025364". The record is from RNAcentral. Lineage: Eukaryota; Metazoa; Chordata; Mammalia; Artiodactyla; Bovidae.